This 504-nucleotide ribosomal RNA is filed under the name Saccostrea amasa. RNAcentral describes it as "partial 16S ribosomal RNA". It matches the Rfam family "Bacterial large subunit ribosomal RNA", at positions 1813 to 2603 of the family's 2925-position model. Lineage: Eukaryota; Metazoa; Mollusca; Bivalvia; Ostreida; Ostreidae. The record is from RNAcentral.
ACAUCACUAAGAGAGGUUUGCUCUUAGCAGUACCUGCCCAGUGCGUCAUAUUGUAAACGGCCGCCCUAGCGUGAGGGUGCCAAGGUAGCGAAAUUCCUUGCCUUUUAAUUGUAGGCCUGCAUGAAUGGAUUGACGAGGGCCAUUCUGUCUCUUGCCUUAUGAAGUGAAAUUGGAUUAAAGGUGAAGAUACCUUUAUUAAAAAGUUAGACAAGAAGACCCCGUGCAGCUUUUAAAAGAUCCUUUAUUAAGAGAGGUAGAUUUUUAGGUGGGGCGCCUAGGAAGUAAAAUUUAACCUUCUGUAUAAUUUUGUUUGUGGUAACUCUCUAGUAUAGACCCGGUAAAAUCCGAUCGUAGGAGAAGUUACGCCGGGGAUAACAGGCUUAUCCAUUAGUAGAGCUCGUAUUGGCUAAUGGGAUUGGCACCUCGAUGUUGAAUUAGGGACAAUAACUUUAAGGCGUAGAAGCUUUAAGAGUGGGUCUGUUCGACCUUUAAUACCCUACGUGA